GAGAAAAAUAAAAUUUAGAAAAAGUGCAAGGGUGGGCUUUAGCUUAAUCAGCCACUAAAUCUUCGCCGUCUGGCAUCAUUUCUCUCUUCUCUUCUCCUCUCUGUUCACCCUACCUUCCACUUCAUUACAGCCUCAAAUAUAACUCUCUUAAUUUAAAAAAAAAAAAAAUGGGGAUUCGAUGUUUUUUCAAAUGACAAGCCCAUCGUGGAUUAAUCUGUUGCUGCAUUUUGUGAAGCUGGGUGGUUUCAAAUAUCUGAUCUUUUGAGUUUUUGUUCCAUUUUUCUUCAAUAAAAAUUAAUUGCUGAUCUAUGCAAUGUCGUGUGAAUCUAAAAUCAAGGAGAAGAUUUAACUCAUGAUUUCUUUAUUCUAGUGUUUUGAUUGCAUUUAACAUUAACAGUCUGCAUUUUCGAGCGGUUGUAGCACUCAUAAAAUUUUGUGAAUGAAAAAUGUUCUAAUUUUAAUUUCAGUCAUCAUUAUCGACAACAUAGAAAUAGGUUAGAUUGAUUAGCAAGCAUAAAUGAACUUUGAUGUAGAAUCCUGUUAGGAUUAAGAGUUUGUGAUUGAGAGUCCACCUGUACGAGAGUUCUCAUGUGGACAGCACUCUAAUUAUGGCAGUUAUCCCAGAAUGCUUAUAAAGUGAACCAAGUAUCCUGUGGUUGCUCGGUUAGGGUUACAUGUUACUCCUUACUCGCAUUCCAGUACUAUUAUUUUGGUGGUUGUAACAUCAAUUAUGUCCAGUAAAUUAACUAAACUCUGUUAUGUUUCAUAUCUUUAUACUGUAUUCAGCAUUAUGAGAAACCAUCCAUCUCAGAGACAUGUCUUGCAAUGUAGUAAUGGUGAGAUUAUUGCCUAAAUGGUAUUGCCUGCUAUUGGUAUGGGUUGGAUUUGGGAUGUUACUAGAUUCUUUUAUUAUUAUUAUUAUUAU
This 925-nucleotide unclassified non-coding RNA is filed under the name Hevea brasiliensis (rubber tree). Lineage: Eukaryota; Viridiplantae; Streptophyta; Magnoliopsida; Malpighiales; Euphorbiaceae. The record is from RNAcentral.